GACGAACGCUGGCGGCGUGCUUAACACAUGCAAGUCGAACGGAAAGGCCCUGCUUGCAGGGUACUCGAGUGGCGAACGGGUGAGUAACACGUGGGUGAUCUGCCCUGCACUUCGGGAUAAGCCUGGGAAACUGGGUCUAAUACCGGAUAGGAGCCAUUUUUAGUGUGAUGGUUGGAAAGUUUUUUCGGUGUAGGAUGAGCUCGCGGCCUAUCAGCUUGUUGGUGGGGUAAUGGCCUACCAAGGCGGCGACGGGUAGCCGGCCUGAGAGGGUGGACGGCCACAUUGGGACUGAGAUACGGCCCAGACUCCUACGGGAGGCAGCAGUGGGGAAUAUUGCACAAUGGGCGCAAGCCGGAUGUAGCGACGCCGCGGGGGGGAGGACGGCCUUCGGGUUGUAAACGCCUUUCGCUAGGGACGAAGCUUUUUGUGACGGUACCUAGAUAAGAAGCACCGGCUAACUACGUG
Molecule: ribosomal RNA, 465 nt
Filed under: uncultured bacterium
Lineage: Bacteria
Description: partial 16S ribosomal RNA
Rfam family: Bacterial small subunit ribosomal RNA
Source: RNAcentral